This 460-nucleotide ribosomal RNA is filed under the name uncultured bacterium. RNAcentral describes it as "partial 16S ribosomal RNA". It matches the Rfam family "Bacterial small subunit ribosomal RNA", at positions 338 to 795 of the family's 1533-position model. The record is from RNAcentral.
CCUACGGGUGGCAGCAGUGAGGAAUAUUGGUCAAUGGGCUUACGCCUGAACCAGCCAAGUCGCGUGAGGGAAGACUGCCCUAUGGGUUGUAAACCUCUUUUUUCAGGGAGCAACGCCGGCUACGUGUAGCCGGACUGAGAGUACCUGAAGAAAAAGCAUCGGCAAACUCCGUGCCAGCAGCCGCGGUAAUACGGAGGAUGCGAGCGUUAUCCGGAUUUAUGGGGUUUAAAGGGUGCGUAGGCGGAAUGCCAAGUCAGCGGUAAAAUCGCGGGGCUGAACCGCGCUCCGCCGUUGAUACUGGCAGUCUUGAGUGGGCGAGAAGUAUGCGGAAGGCGUAGUGUAGCAGUGAAAUGCAUAGAUAUUACGCAGAACUCCGAUUGCGAAGGCAGCAUACCGGCGCCCAACUGACGCUGAAGCACGAAAGCGUGGGUAUCGAACAGGAUUAGAUACCCUAGUAGUC